AGCCACAAAAAUUCUAAAAAAAAUUUGAAUAAAUUUGAUGCAAAAUUGAAAGAGUUUUGAAUUUCUAAAACUCUAUCUCAUAGAAUUCGAAAUCCAAACUUAUUCCUUUUUGAUUUGAUCCAAACCACCUUCCAUGUAAGAAAGAAGAGAGGAAACCUUUUGUGAACGUGGGAGAGACCUGGGAGAGGGCUUUUGUCGCAUAAAAUAAGUGAAGAUUGGCAUUGAAUAAGAGAGAGAGCGUGGGGAAGGCUUAUGUGGCACAAGGUGGAAUCCUAGUCUUACUAGGAUUCUAUCUUAUGUCUUGUUUUAAUUUGGUUUCCCAAACCAAAUCAAACCAAAAUUAGAUCAACCUAAUUAAAAUAGGUCUUAACCCAAUUAAGAACUUAAUUUAAUCAGAUUAAAUUAGAUUUAAAUUUGAUUUAAUUUUCUAAUCAAAUUAGAAAUUAGAUUGACCCAAGUCCUAGUUGAACUAUGACUAGUUUUUCCUUGCACUUGGCUUAUCCAAUAAACCAAUUGGACUUGAUCCAAUCAAGCCCAAACUAAAUCUAAUUAAAUCAUAUUUAAUUAGACUUAAUCUAAGCCCAUUGGCUUAAUCAAAUUAAGUCAAUUAGCAAUCGAAUUGCUAAUUGAUCCUCCUGCAAUACUUGCACUGGGUUAAAUGUCAAUCGUAUUGAUCAUUUAACCCUAGAACGAUUCUUAAUCGUUGAUCAACCAUCCGAUCGGAUCAUGAACUCUAAUGUGUAUGACCUCAUAGGUCCGAACCUAAGUCGGUAGUACAAGAAUAAAUUUCUGUACCAAUCGAAGUGACCAUCUAGCAAUGGUAUCCG
RNAcentral lists this long non-coding RNA (827 nucleotides) under Elaeis guineensis (African oil palm). Its description in RNAcentral is "long non-coding RNA (EGUI_LNC016490)". The record is from RNAcentral. Lineage: Eukaryota; Viridiplantae; Streptophyta; Magnoliopsida; Arecales; Arecaceae.